This 492-nucleotide ribosomal RNA is filed under the name uncultured bacterium. Its description in RNAcentral is "partial 16S ribosomal RNA". It matches the Rfam family "Bacterial small subunit ribosomal RNA", at positions 29 to 507 of the family's 1533-position model. The record is from RNAcentral.
AGUGAACGCUGGCGGUAGGCCUAACACAUGCAAGUCGAACGGCAGCACAGUAAGAGCUUGCUCUUACGGGUGGCGAGUGGCGGACGGGUGAGGAAUACAUCGGAAUCUACUUUUUCGUGGGGGAUAACGUAGGGAAACUUACGCUAAUACCGCAUACGACCUACGGGUGAAAGCAGGGGAUCUUCGGACCUUGCGCGAUUGAAUGAGCCGAUGUCGGAUUAGCUAGUUGGCGGGGUAAAGGCCCACCAAGGCGACGAUCCGUAGCUGGUCUGAGAGGAUGAUCGGCCACACUGGAACUGAGACACGGUCCAGACUCCUACGGGAGGGAGCAGUGGGGAAUGUUGGACAAUGGGCGCAAGCCUGAUCCAGCCAUACCGCGUGGGUGAAGAAGGCCUUCGGUUUGUAAAGCCCUUUUGUGGGGAAAGAAAAGCAGCAGGUUAAUACCCCGCUGUUCUGACGGUACCCAAAGAAUAAGCACCGGCUAACUUCGUG